RNAcentral lists this small RNA (37 nucleotides) under Arabidopsis thaliana (thale cress). Its description in RNAcentral is "ATSL063500". Lineage: Eukaryota; Viridiplantae; Streptophyta; Magnoliopsida; Brassicales; Brassicaceae. The record is from RNAcentral.
AAGUGUUUGCGGACCAAGAAGAAGAAGAAACGUAGUU